This is a long non-coding RNA of Talpa occidentalis (Iberian mole), 2031 nucleotides long. RefSeq lists it as uncharacterized. Lineage: Eukaryota; Metazoa; Chordata; Mammalia; Eulipotyphla; Talpidae. The record is from RefSeq and is a predicted model, not a curated record. The transcript has 4 exons.
GGGGGGUGGUCGGGAAUUGGGGCAGUCAGGGCUCCUCAGAGAACAGAAGGUUCAGCUUCAGAGACUGCAGGAAACGAAGCUCAGGAUUCUAGGGGAAUACAAAGUCAAAGGGCAGGCAGGAAGGCCCUCUCUCCCUUUUCUUUUAGGGAUACCAGAUCCAUUGCUAGGCCUACGGUGUUUCCGCUCAGCCUCCCCUUCCAUGGGAGAAUGAAAUGGAGAGAAGUUCCUUGUAAAGUGUUGCAGUCGUGAGAUGCUCUAGGAAGCCCGGGGAAGGAGCGCUCCGUUCGUUGGUUCAUUCAAUGAUCGUUCCCUGAGCUUGGGCCGUGCCCCGCGACGUGCUGAGAUGCUGGUGCGCCCGGGCGCACGAUCCGAGCCCAGCCCUCGCCGUCGCUGCGCGUUCUUGGCACUUUGUAUGCACUGGAGUCUUUGCCCUGCGCUCUGCACAGUAUCACUAGCGCCUUCUGCCGAUGGAGAAACUGACUCGAGAGGUUAAGAGACUUCCCCAAGAGCCAACAGCUAAAUCUUGGAACCGGCGUCCACACCCAGGUCUGUGGAUUCCAGUGUCCCAGUGCCCUAUCUUACGUUUCCUUUUCAAAAUAAACUGAUGAUUGUAAAUAGAAAAUAAAGCCACUGCCUCCGAGAUGGAGUUUAUAAUCAGUCUAAGGAGUUGAAAAUACUACCAGACAAUGCAAUUUAGAAAAAAAAAAAUUUUGAAGGCGGCCAUAAGGCUCAAAAGGAAGUCGAUGGCAAAUGAUCAAAGUGAGGUGGAGAUUAUCAGAGCCUUCCUGCAGGAGAUGGAUUCUGAGCUGGAUUAUGCGGUGGUGAUGGGGCCAGGAUCACCGGUGGUGUGUGUGUCUGUGUCUGUGUGAUGUGGUGCCAAGAAAAAGAACAAUCUAAGGGCAUCAGACCAGGACCCAGAGCUCGGCAGACUGGAUGGCCAGUGGAUCCCUCUGUAACCUCCAAAGCCACUGGUUGCGCUCACUCUCCUUUCUGCCUCCUACCCCCUCAGUGGUUUUCUUACUGGGGCAAAGGCUCCCAGGAGGCAGCUGUACUCAUUCCACCCUUCCUUCAAGGACUUCACAAUUAGUAUUUGACACAAACCUCCUGCUGUUAACUUGGAUGUCAGCUUCUCCUUUCUCCACCCCUCUGUGAGAUUUUGGGAAAUGAAAACUAGUGGCCCCUCAAAACAAGAAGUCCACUGAGUGAGCCUCAGGAAGCCAAUAAGCUUGAUGGGAAUGAGACCAAGUUGGGAGACAGAUCUGGAAGGAAGAGAAAGGAGUUCCACCAAAUGCAUCUGUCACUUACGGAACAUGUGCUGCCUUCCUGGUAUGCACCCAGCCCUAGGCGUGCUCUGUGGUCCCGGUCUGUGAAUUAAUCCGGGUGCCUUCAUGUGGAACACACAGGUUAGCAGCUAGUGUACCCAGUGAGCUUGAUUGAGGAGUGUGAAGUGAUAACCUACACAAUAAAUGAUGUUUGAGAAAGGUUAUUCCAGCGGAAUAUGUAGGAGGAAGGAAAAACCUGAGUCAGAAAGAACAGUGUGGCAACAGCUGGGGAAUUUGGGCCAAAGGUGCAAUCUGUGGGGCUGGCGAGGAAACGAUGAAUGAGGAAAACAAUAAUAUAUCUUGUAGUAAAGCAACAAGGAGAAUCUGGUAAUGGACCAGAUGUAGGAUGGUGAAGGAGGAAAUAGUUAAAAAUGAAUCCACCUUUAUGGUGAGUUUGGGGUAUGGAAGGGUCAUGUUGGGCAAUCCGGAGGAGCUGGCAUGAGGGACAUGAGGAUGAAUUCAGUCACUUCUAGGCCAUGUGAGAGCAGCUGUCCUAUAGGUGACUGGAUUCAGAGAAAGGAGAAGUCCACAAGGGCACUGGACUGCCUUGUGGGAGAGACCCUGUUACUGUAGGUGUGCAGACAGCGUUAGCAUAAUCACUGACCUUAGAUAUUAUGGGCAGAUUUCAUACAUCAGCAAGAAGGUGGGAGUCAAUGACAAUGACACUACCUCCUGACUGGGGAUUGGGUGAGCACUGGCUGGGUGAGCC